Molecule: ribosomal RNA, 502 nt
Filed under: uncultured bacterium
Lineage: Bacteria
Description: partial 16S ribosomal RNA
Rfam family: Bacterial small subunit ribosomal RNA
Source: RNAcentral
AUUGAACGCUGGCGGCAGGCUUAACACAUGCAAGUCGAGCGGGGUGAUGGUGCUUGCACUAUCACUUAGCGGCGGACGGGUGAGUAAUGCUUAGGAAUCUGCCUAUUAGUGGGGGACAACAUCUCGAAAGGGAUGCUAAUACCGCAUACGUCCUACGGGAGAAAGCAGGGGAUCACUUGUGACCUUGCGCUAAUAGAUGAGCCUAAGUCGGAUUAGCUAGUUGGUGGGGUAAAGGCCUACCAAGGCGACGAUCUGUAGCGGGUCUGAGAGGAUGAUCCGCCACACUGGGACUGAGACACGGCCCAGACUCCUACGGGAGGCAGCAGUGGGGAAUAUUGGACAAUGGGGGGAACCCUGAUCCAGCCAUGCCGCGUGUGUGAAGAAGGCCUUAUGGUUGUAAAGCACUUUAAGCGAGGAGGAGGCUCUUUUGGUUAAUACCAAGAUGAGUGGACGUUACUCGCAGAAUAAGCACCGGCUAACUCUGUGCCAGCCGCCGCAGUAA